GAUGAACGCUGGCGGCGUGCAUAACACAUGCAAGUCGAACGGGGUGGUUCCUUCGGGGAUCACUUAGUGGCGAACGGGUGAGUAACGCGUGAGAAACCUGCCUUUCAGUGGGGGACAACAGUUGGAAACGACUGCUAAUACCGCAUAAUGUUAUCGAGCGGCAUCGCUUGAUAACCAAAGCUUUAUGUGCUGAAAGAUGGUCUCGCGUCUGAUUAGCUAGUUGGUGAGGUAACGGCUCACCAAGGCGACGAUCAGUAGCCGGUCUGAGAGGAUGAACGGCCACAUUGGGACUGAGAUACGGCCCAGACUCCUACGGGAGGCAGCAGUGGGGAAUAUUGGGCAAUGGGGGAAACCCUGACCCAGCAACGCCGCGUGAAGGAAGAAGGCCUUCGGGUUGUAAACUUCUUUUACCAGGGACGAAGAACGUGACGGUACUUGGAGAAAAAGCAACGGCUAACUACGUG
This 464-nucleotide ribosomal RNA is filed under the name uncultured bacterium. Its description in RNAcentral is "bacterial SSU rRNA". It matches the Rfam family "Bacterial small subunit ribosomal RNA", at positions 28 to 507 of the family's 1533-position model. The record is from RNAcentral.